Molecule: small RNA, 38 nt
Filed under: Arabidopsis thaliana (thale cress)
Lineage: Eukaryota; Viridiplantae; Streptophyta; Magnoliopsida; Brassicales; Brassicaceae
Description: ATSL253100
Source: RNAcentral
UUUUUUUUUACCUUUAACAUUUUUUUUACUUUUUUUUU